RNAcentral lists this ribosomal RNA (255 nucleotides) under uncultured bacterium. RNAcentral describes it as "partial 16S ribosomal RNA". It matches the Rfam family "Bacterial small subunit ribosomal RNA", at positions 524 to 776 of the family's 1533-position model. The record is from RNAcentral.
UACGUAGGGUGCAAGCGUUAAUCGGAAUUACUGGGCGUAAAGCGUGCGCAGGCGGUUUUGUAAGUCUGUCGUGAAAGCCCCGGGCUUAACCUGGGAAUUGCGAUGGAGACUGCAAGGCUUGAAUCUGGCAGAGGGGGGGUAGAAUUCCACGUGUAGCAGUGAAAUGCGUAGAGAUGUGGAGGAACACCGAUGGCGAAGGCAGCCCCCCUGGGUCAAGAUUGACGCUCAUGCACGAAAGCGUGGGGAGCAAACAGG